UUGAACGCUGGCGGCAUGCUUUACACAUGCAAGUCGAACGGUAACAGGCCUUCGGGUGCUGACGAGUGGCGAACGGGUGAGUAAUGCAUCGGAACGUGCCCAAUCGUGGGGGAUAACGUAGCGAAAGUUACGCUAAUACCGCAUACGCCCUGAGGGGGAAAGCAGGGGAUCUUCGGACCUUGUGCGAAUGGAGCGGCCGAUGUCAGAUUAGCUAGUUGGUGGGGUAAAGGCCCACCAAGGCGACGAUCUGUAGCUGGUCUGAGAGGACGACCAGCCACACUGGGACUGAGACACGGCCCAGACUCCUACGGGAGGCAGCAGUGGGGAAUUUUGGACAAUGGGGGCAACCCUGAUCCAGCCAUGCCGCGUGAGUGAAGAAGGCCUUCGGGUUGUAAAGCUCUUUCAGACGGAAAGAAACGGUCACGAUUAAUACCCGUGACUAAUGACGGUACCGUCAGAAGAAGCACCGGCUAACUACGU
This 480-nucleotide ribosomal RNA is filed under the name uncultured bacterium. Its description in RNAcentral is "bacterial SSU rRNA". It matches the Rfam family "Bacterial small subunit ribosomal RNA", at positions 30 to 506 of the family's 1533-position model. The record is from RNAcentral.